AUGUCUACAAAAAUUCAUCUGACCCCAUUACUGACCCCAUUACACUCGCAGGAAACGAAUGUCAUCAUUGAAGAAUUUUGUCCUUCUGACCUAUUUGAGUACAGUCUGAGAAGAUGCAUUGUAGAACACUUUGGAAAUUUGUCCAUGCUGACCUUCAUGGUAACACAAAAGAUGAAGGAGUGUGUGUCUUCAGGAAGGUCUCGUUCAGCGGGAUUGCAUAGGUGAGUUUUUAUUUUUGAAACAUCUCCUCUACUGAGUGACCAUUCCAGUUUGAAACUUGAUACAGUUUCUUAUGAUAUACCAUAAAUUACUAUCAAGAGUCUUUUUAGCUGGAAUGUGAACUAACAAAAAUUAACUUUUACUUUUAAAUACUAUACGUUUUAGCUCUACA
Molecule: long non-coding RNA, 391 nt
Filed under: Callithrix jacchus (white-tufted-ear marmoset)
Lineage: Eukaryota; Metazoa; Chordata; Mammalia; Primates; Cebidae
Description: lncRNA (ENSCJAG00000054925.2)
Source: RNAcentral